RNAcentral lists this ribosomal RNA (108 nucleotides) under uncultured eukaryote. RNAcentral describes it as "partial small subunit ribosomal RNA". It matches the Rfam family "Eukaryotic small subunit ribosomal RNA", at positions 1676 to 1785 of the family's 1831-position model. The record is from RNAcentral.
UCGCUACUACCGAUUGAAUGGCUUAGUGAGGCCUUUGGAUCUGCCGCCCUGUUUUUUAAGCAUGGUGGUGUGAGAAAUUGGACAAACUUGGUCAUUUAGAGGAAGUAA